This 454-nucleotide ribosomal RNA is filed under the name [Candida] sp. RNAcentral describes it as "LSU rRNA". It matches the Rfam family "Eukaryotic large subunit ribosomal RNA", at positions 12 to 460 of the family's 3401-position model. Lineage: Eukaryota; Fungi; Ascomycota; Saccharomycetes; Saccharomycetales. The record is from RNAcentral.
CAAUCAAGAGUUCACUAUGAAGUUAAGCAUAUCAAUAAGCGGAGGAAAAGAAUCCAACGGGGAUUGCCUUCGUAACGGCGAGUGAAGCGGCAAGAGCUCAAAUUUGAAAAGGUGAGACACACUCACCAGUUGUAGUUUGAAGGAGGGAGAUUUGUGGGGGGUUGACAAUAGCGAUGUUCCUUGGAAGAGGGCGUCAUAGAAGGUGAUAAUCCUGUAGCUAUGUGUGUACCCCCUAUAGUAUAGUCACCCGCCGACGAGUCGAGUUGUUUGGGAAUGCAGCUCUAAGAGGGUGGUAAACUCCAUCUAAAGCUAAAUAUUGGCGAGAGACCGAUAGCGAACAAGUACAGUGAUGGAAAGAUGAAAAGAACUUUGAAAAGAGAGUGAAAGAGUGCGUGAAAUUGUUGAAAGGGAAGGAUAUUAGGUGAUGGGAGAUGGGGUUGCGUGCGAUAUAGAG